RNAcentral lists this ribosomal RNA (351 nucleotides) under Tonkinacris sp. ICCM-2013. RNAcentral's name for it is "partial 12S ribosomal RNA". The record is from RNAcentral. Lineage: Eukaryota; Metazoa; Arthropoda; Insecta; Orthoptera; Acrididae.
UAAGUGUUAAUUAAACUUACCAGGGUAUUAAUAGUUAAGGUCUUUAAACCCAAAGAAUUUGGCGGUAUCUCAUACCAUUCAGAGGAACCUAUCCCGUGAUUGACAGUACACGAUUAACUUUACUUAAUUUAUUUGUUUGUAUAUCUCCGUUAUCAGAAGAUCUUUUUAGAGUUAUAAUUUUCUUGAUUUAUAAUUAUAAAUUAUUUCAGGUCAAGGUGCAGCUUAUAAUUAAGAGGAGAUGGGUUACAAUAGGUUUUUGUUUAUAACGGAUUUGAUAAUGAAAUUCUAUUAAUGAAGGUGGAUUUGAUAGUAAUUUGACAUAUUUAAUUUAAUUGAUAUUGGCUCUGAGGU